Molecule: long non-coding RNA, 2917 nt
Organism: Rosa rugosa (rugosa rose)
Lineage: Eukaryota; Viridiplantae; Streptophyta; Magnoliopsida; Rosales; Rosaceae
Exons: 8
Source: RefSeq, a predicted model, not a curated record
AAACCCGAGCUCGCGCUUCUCUCUCUUAAAAUCACUCUUCAUCUCCCCGAUCUCACUAGUCAUCUAUCUCUCCCACUCUCCCUCUCAGCUUUCUCUCUCUUCCGCUCAACAAAACUACCUCCCUCUCCAUUCGACCAAAACACCCGAGCUCCCACCUCUCUUUCUCAAAAUCACAUCUGCCCUCAGUCCUCAGCCUUCCUUUCUCUCUCUCUCUCUCUCUCUGAGAACCUCUCUUUGCUGCCUGUUUGAUCGUACUUUCAUCUCUCUAUCCCACCGCAGUGACCGCCAGUCGACCACCACCGCAGUGUUCUCCAGUCGACCACCACCGCUUCGAUCUCUGCUGCUUCCAUCCGCCCUCUGCUACUUCGAUUCGCAGAGCCCUCUACUGCUUUGGGACUUUGAUUCCCGGAGUUUCGAGCAAUAGCCAGUUCAUCUUUUUGGUGAGGGAUUGUUGUCACCCUUUUGCUUCUUCUUGCUCUGCAGAGUUAUGGGUUCGUUCUUUCUUUUGCUUCCACAAAUGUUUACAUUGUCUAUAUGGGAGAAAGAAAGUAUGGAAACCCCGAGCUGGUAUCUGAGUCUCACCAUGAGAUUCUGUCAUAUGUAUUUGGAAGGUUAGCUCUAAUGCGUAAUUAUGGGUGGUUCCUCAUUCUAACUCAACAACAGUUAAAUGGUCGAAUUUGGAGAACCAGCUCCUAUCCGUGUGCCCGUCAUGUUCUGUUCCGUAUUGCUUCUACCCUCAGACUACAUGUUCCUUGCCCCCUGCAGUUUAUCUAUUGAAGUUUCUUUGCUCUGACCAUAAUGGAUUAUUGCAUGAUGUCACUGAAAUUAUGUCUGAUCUUGAGCUUUCGAUUGAAAGGGUGAAAGUGACAACAACACCAGAUGACAGGGUCUUGGACCUGGUCUUCAUAACAGAUAACAUGGAUCUUCUGCACACAAAGGAGUGGCAAGAUAAGACAUUGAAACAGUUGCAAGCCGUAUUGGGUGAGUCGUGUACCAGUUGCGAACUUCAGUUGGUAGGUCCUGAGUAUGAUCCCCACCAUGGCAUUCCUUUUCUGUCUCCAUUAGUAGCUGAAGAGCUAUUUAGGUGUGAGUUGUUGGAUAAAGAAAUCAGUUCUCAAGCUCUUAGUCCUGAUAUGACAACUCAUUGAGCCCAGCACAUACAUUACUUCAGAUCCAUUGUGCUGAUCACAAGGGUCUCUUGUAUGACAUUAUGAGAACUUUUAAAGACAGCAACAUCAAGAAAGCUGGAAACCUAAUCUAUACCAAAGGGUCUUGUACGUAAAUAAUAAUAAUUAAUAUAUCAAGCUCCUUUUGUAUGCCUAUAUAUCUCUCCAAGAUCCGACCCGGUUGUGUAGCUGCCAAGCCCAAUGCGCAGCGCCGAUCCGCGGUGGUUUCGGUCUCCGAGGCUGUCAAGGAGAAGAAGGCCAAUGCUUCCACCAAUCUGCUGAUAACAAGAGAGGAAGGAUUGGAGCUUUAUGAAGACAUGGUAUUGGGUAGAGCUUUUGAGGACAUGUGUGCUCAGAUGUAUUACAGACUCCGAUAGACUGGGCAUUGUUUCAGUAAGAAAUUUUGGACAGCACGAAACAUGCUCUCCAUACUGCUUGAGGAUGAAUCUGUUCUGAUAUGGUACUCAGGCAAAGAUGAGAAAUAUGUUAAACUAAGCCAUGUCUCUAGAAUUAUACCUGGCCAACGCACUGUAAGUUCUUCAUACUGAGAUCUCUUGCACCUUUUUCAAAUGGUGAACACGUCCCCUAGUAUUUUAUAGCUUUGCAAAUGAUAGUUGUAGAUCUGUGGCAUUUGAUUUCAAAUGCAACUUUUAGCUUAAUGUACAAUAAGAACAGUUAGUAGCAUGGCCAUCGCAUGAUUAAAUGUAUUUUCUGAAUGAGUGAAGGAGGAGAUAACGUGUACAUGUUAUUUUAAUCAAAGUAAAACGUACGUUAGUCAUAAACUAAGAGCCGUAUACAACUGAUCCCAAUUGCUCAAAAGAAGGGGGAAAAGCUCAAGAGUUCUAUACCAUAAUUGAUUAUUUCACGUACUGAAUGUAUUGUAGCCAGGCAACCUGGAAAGGAGGAAAGGUUUAUACAAUUUUGGGCGUAUUUCUUUGCUUACCCUUACUGUGUAGGAAGUUUAAAUAUUUUAGCUAAUGUGAGGCAUAGUUAUGAGUUUAUUUAUUAUUUUUUUGCUUACUUGCAUGCUUGCAUAAGUUCCUUGUUGUAGAUGGUUGCCUGCAUGGCCUAUCAUAUAGGGUCAUAUGAUUGGCUGCUAUUUAUAUUUUCAUACAGGAGUGGGAAUGAGGAAAAGGUGCAUUGCACCAUGGCUUCAGUGGUAAAAGGGUGGGGUAGCUGGCCUGUUUUGAGCAGUGAUGGCCUGUUUUGAAGAAUGAACAGAGAACAUCAAUUAGAACAAACUCCAGAUGUUUGCUCUGUUUAAUGAUCUCUCUCCCUCCCUCUCUCUCCCCUUUGAAACCUUUAAUUCCAUUUCAGGCAUGGGAGUUGAUGAUUCUGAAACUGACGCUAUAAUAAAUUGUGAGAUCAAACUAGAAUUCUGAUGUUCAUAUACCUGUUGGAUCAUUUCAUGCCUUGUUAAGAGAUUUGUAUUAGUUUUCUGUUAGCUUGUUUUAAAAUGAACUCUUAGUCAACCAGGUGGCAUUGGGUGAAAAAAGUGCUUAUCUAACUUCCCGUCAUUCAUACAUACAUAAAGGAGAGGCAUCAAGGCAUAUGGGAGUGACAGCGAAAGUAAAGGCUGUUGUUGAUGCAACUUCUGCUGGCAUCUUCAUUGUCAUCACAAAGUGUGUUCUUCAAGACUUUGUUGGUUUCAACAUUUUACUAAAUUUUGUUUGAAAACUAGUUCUGUUGAUGUAAUGACUUUGUUGGAUAUAUGGAUGAAUGUAUCAGAUUUUAACAUAAAUGAAUGUGUU